RNAcentral lists this ribosomal RNA (605 nucleotides) under Nocardia cyriacigeorgica. RNAcentral describes it as "bacterial SSU rRNA". It matches the Rfam family "Bacterial small subunit ribosomal RNA", at positions 423 to 1039 of the family's 1533-position model. The record is from RNAcentral. Lineage: Bacteria; Bacillati; Actinomycetota; Actinomycetes; Mycobacteriales; Nocardiaceae.
UUGUAAACCUCUUUCGACAGGGACGAAGCGCAAGUGACGGUACCUGUAGAAGAAGCACCGGCCAACUACGUGCCAGCAGCCGCGGUAAUACGUAGGGUGCGAGCGUUGUCCGGAAUUACUGGGCGUAAAGAGCUUGUAGGCGGCUUGUCGCGUCGAUCGUGAAAACUUGGGGCUCAACCCCAAGCUUGCGGUCGAUACGGGCAGGCUUGAGUACUUCAGGGGAGACUGGAAUUCCUGGUGUAGCGGUGAAAUGCGCAGAUAUCAGGAGGAACACCGGUGGCGAAGGCGGGUCUCUGGGAAGUAACUGACGCUGAGAAGCGAAAGCGUGGGUAGCGAACAGGAUUAGAUACCCUGGUAGUCCACGCCGUAAACGGUGGGUACUAGGUGUGGGUUUCCUUCCACGGGAUCCGUGCCGUAGCUAACGCAUUAAGUACCCCGCCUGGGGAGUACGGCCGCAAGGCUAAAACUCAAAGGAAUUGACGGGGGCCCGCACAAGCGGCGGAGCAUGUGGAUUAAUUCGAUGCAACGCGAAGAACCUUACCUGGGUUUGACAUACACCGGGAAACCUGCAGAGAUGUAGGCCCCCUUGUGGUCGGUGUACAGGU